This 253-nucleotide ribosomal RNA is filed under the name uncultured bacterium. Its description in RNAcentral is "partial 16S ribosomal RNA". It matches the Rfam family "Bacterial small subunit ribosomal RNA", at positions 524 to 776 of the family's 1533-position model. The record is from RNAcentral.
UACAGAGGGUGCGAGCGUUAAUCGGAAUUACUGGGCGUAAAGCGUGCGCAGGCGGUUUUGUAAGACAGAUGUGAAAUCCCCGGGCUUAACCUGGGAAUGGCAUUUGGGACUGCAAGGCUUGAGUGUGGCAGAGGAGACUGGAAUUCCUGGUGUAGCAGUGAAAUGCGUAGAUAUCAGGAGGAACACCGAUGGCGAAGGCAGGUCUCUGGGCUGACACUGACGCUCAUGCACGAAAGCGUGGGGAGCAAACAGG